CCACGGCCCUAGCCCCGCCCAUUUCCCGGUGACCACGCCCCCAAUGCGCUGACCACGCCCCUACCUGUAGCUCCGCCCCUCCUGGGCCCCACGUGGGCGAUGACGUCAUCGGUGAUGUCACGGCGCGGGCACAGCGGUUGCUCCUCUGCGGGGCUGAUGGUGUCACUGAUGACGUCAUCCUUUGGGGUGAUGUCAUCGUGCUCAGGUGUGACAUCACGGCCCGGACUUGCGGCUGUGAUGUCAGCACCGGGUGUGACAUCAUCACCAGGGUCGCCUCCAAGGGUGACGUCAUCGAUGAGGUCACCUCCGUGGAUGAGGUCAUCACCGCCCAUCUCCCCAUGGUAAGGAGUGAUGGUUUCAUCCGUGAUGACGUCAUCAGUGAGGUCAGCCAAGUAGGUGAUGUCAUCAGUGAGGUCAGCCCCGUGGAUGACGUCACCAAUAUGGACAUCCCUGCCUGCAGAGGUGAUGGCCUCGCUCAUAAUGACGUCAUCAGUGACGUCACCCCAAUUGAUUACAUCAUCUGUGAUGUCAUAUCCAUGGGUGAUGUCAUCAGUGAUGUCGUAUCUGUGAGUGACGUCAUCAGCGUGGACGCCCUCGUGGAAAGAAGAGAUGGUUUCACCCAUCGUGACGUCAUCAAUGAUGUCACGCCCGUGGCUGACAUCAUUGGUGCGGGUGUCCCCAUGGAAAGAAGCGACCGUUUCAUCCGUGAUGACAUCAUCAGUGAUGUCACCUCCAGGGAUGACAUCAUGGGCGUGGUCGUCCCCAUGGAAAGAAGCGACCGUUUCAUCCGUGGUGACGUCAUCAGUGACAUCACCACCAGGGACAACACCAUCAGCCUGGUCACCUCUGGGGAGGGAGCAGAUGACGUCAUCUCCACUGAUGAUGUCAUCAUCGAUGUCACUCCCGGGCACGGCACCACCCAUGCGCUCACCCUCAGGGAGGUGGGGAGUGACAUCACCCGCAGCCAUGACGUCACCACCGGGCUCUCCUCCGGGGAGAAAGGAAGUGACGUCAUCGCCGUCGACGAGCUCGGCCACGACGUCACCCCCCGCCACCGCCGAGGUGACGUCGCCCUCAGGGCUGACGUCACCGGGAAGCGCAGCUGUGACGUCGCCGCCCCCCCGCGACACCGCGCGGUUGGGCGGCAAUGGCGUCAGCGAUGACGUCAUCGUCGCCGGGGCCGUCCUCCAGCGGCGGGGCCGUCACCGUGAUGGUGAUGACGUCACCGGCACCGCGCGCGCCCUCAACGCCCCCAACCCUUCCCGACGUCCCC
This 1273-nucleotide long non-coding RNA is filed under the name Gallus gallus (chicken). RNAcentral's name for it is "lncRNA (ENSGALG00010000380.1)". The record is from RNAcentral. Lineage: Eukaryota; Metazoa; Chordata; Aves; Galliformes; Phasianidae.